CAGGACGAACGCUGGCGGCGUGCCUAACACAUGCAAGUCGAGCGAGGAGAUUCCUUCGGGAUGAUCCUAGCGGCGGACGGGUGAGUAACACGUGGGCAACCUGCCUCAUAGAGAGGAAUAGCCUUCCGAAAGGGAGAUUAAUACCUCAUAACAUUGCAGUUUCGCAUGGAACAGCAAUUAAAGGAGUAAUCCGCUAUGAGAUGGGCCCGCGGCGCAUUAGCUAGUUGGUGAGGUAACGGCUCACCAAGGCGACGAUGCGUAGCCGACCUGAGAGGGUGAUCGGCCACAUUGGGACUGAGACACGGCCCAGACUCCUACGGGAGGCAGCAGUGGGGAAUAUUGCACAAUGGGGGAAACCCUGAUGCCAGCAACGCCGCGUGAGUGAUGACGGCCUUCGGGUUGUAAAGCUCUGUCUUCAGGGACGAUAAUGACGGUACCUGAGGAGGAAGCCACGGCUAACUACGUGCCAGCCGCCGC
Molecule: ribosomal RNA, 477 nt
Filed under: uncultured bacterium
Lineage: Bacteria
Description: bacterial SSU rRNA
Rfam family: Bacterial small subunit ribosomal RNA
Source: RNAcentral